This 497-nucleotide ribosomal RNA is filed under the name uncultured bacterium. RNAcentral describes it as "partial 16S ribosomal RNA". It matches the Rfam family "Bacterial small subunit ribosomal RNA", at positions 28 to 507 of the family's 1533-position model. The record is from RNAcentral.
GAUGAACGCUGGCGGCGUGCCUAAUACAUGCAAGUAGAACGCUGAAGGAAGGAGCUUGCUCUUUCCGGAUGAGUUGCGAACGGGUGAGUAACGCGUAGGUAACCUGCCUGGUAGCGGGGGAUAACUAUUGGAAACGAUAGCUAAUACCGCAUAACAGUAGAUGUUGCAUGAUAUCUACUUAAAAGGUGCAAUUGCACCACUACCAGAUGGACCUGCGUUGUAUUAGCUAGUUGGUGAGGUAACGGCUCACCAGGGCGACGAUACAUAGCCGACCUGAGAGGGUGAUCGGCCACACUGGGACUGAGACACGGCCCAGACUCCUACGGGAGGCAGCAGUAGGGAAUCUUCGGCAAUGGACGGAAGUCUGACCGAGCAACGCCGCGUGAGUGAAGAAGGUUUUCGGAUCGUAAAGCUCUGUUGUAAGAGAAGAACGAGGGUGAGAGUGGAAAGUUCACACUGUGACGGUAUCUUACCAGAAAGGGACGGCUAACUACGUG